RNAcentral lists this long non-coding RNA (3399 nucleotides) under Homo sapiens (human). Its description in RNAcentral is "HSALNT0110527". The record is from RNAcentral. Lineage: Eukaryota; Metazoa; Chordata; Mammalia; Primates; Hominidae.
GAACCGUGAAAAAUCUUUAUGGAACUCUUUCAACCCUCUCUCUUUGCUCGUUGUGGUACUUAACGUCUACAAUGAAUGAUACACAUGUAAAAGGCAAACGACAACAGUGCUCAUUAAUUAGAGCACAUGAUAUGAAUUUGUAAGAAGAUUGAGGCUAUGAGGAUUCAUAUGGUAACCAGGACUCCAUGCUGCUGCACAAAUUGCCUGGCAGGAGGGAUAUGGUGCAUGAGAGUCCAAAUCUUCCAGCUGGAGAACAAGGUGCUGCCUGGCUUUCCAUGGGCUUGCAGAGUGGACCUCUAUGGCCAGAUUGGAUUUGAUGCUGCAGCUCAGUGUAUCUGUUGAAAAAAAAGGAUGUCUCCAGAAAGUCAAUGAGUCCUAUAAAGAAAAUUGUAGCAGACAUUUUCUGAAGAAAAACUAAUGUGUCAAAGGCCUCCUUCAGGUUGGACCCCAGGCUUCUCCUACUUCCUGUCCAAGUGGAGCAAAUGCAGCUCAGCUGGUUCCUGAGUUGCUACUGCCCCACCCCUAUGUCCACGUGCUGGUCUAAGAAGAGGGCAGGGAUAUUGAGAAAGUAACAGAGAAGGAGCAACAGUGACCAUCUCUGCCCAAGUGUGAAGGCCUCCCUGGCCCUCCAAAGAGAUGUACAGACUUGAGGAGAUGCAAAGGUCCUUCUGGUUGUAGGACUUCAAUUAUGAUCUCUGAGGAUAUGCUUCAAAAUAAAGUCCCCCAUAUUGAAAAUCACUGAUCUCAUUUCAAAGGAUAAAAGCAAUCUUUACUAGAAAAGUCACACACACACACGCACACACACACAUACUGCCCCCCUGCCACACACACACAAUGGUAACUAUGGGUGGUGACAUAUGUGUUAAUUAAUGUUGUUGUAAUAAUUAUGCAAUGUAUGUGUAAUUAAUUCAUCCCAUUAUAUACCUUGAAUAUAUGCAAUUUUUAUUUAUUAAAUAUUUUCUUAAGAUCUCCUUAAAGUAUUUCUUUUAACUCUUUAACCAUUUCAGCAAUAUCAUCUUUUCUUUCCUUCAUGUUCUUAUUCUUUCCCAUUUAAUUUUACUUUUAAGAUAAUUUUUCUCUCUGUUUUUUCAGGAAUAACAAUCUUCAAGGUUCUCCCUUUUUCCUUUAAAGGCAGUGAUUGCAGAUAAAGAAGCUGAAAUUUUUGCUAUUAUGACACAAAACAGCAUGGCUUGUAAAGAAUUUUCCAGGGUCAUUUGCCUGGGAGGUGCCCUGUCCCCUCCAAUUUUGUACCAGAUCUGAAUUUUUUCUCUGUGACCUUGACAACAAUUCUUCACAUAUUCAUUCAAUACUUACUAACUUUCCUGGGUGUCAGAUAAGGCACUCAGGACACAGUGGUGACAAAAUAGAUAAUUAAGGGAAGCUUACACUGUAGUUGGGGGAAACAGUCCAUAAAUAAGUAAUUGAACAAUAAGCAAGAUACUGUCAGAAUGAAACCAGGAUCAUGAAGAAAAGGAAUCAGAAUGAUUUCAAAAAGCAUUUGAGGGCAGGGGAACCUGGGACUCUUUUAAUGGGUGCACCUAAAAGAGGGAAGACCUCACGAACAUGUAAAGUCUGAGCGGAGUCCUAGAAGAUAAGAUAAAGCAACCAUGAGAAGAUUUUCUCUGAGAGCAUGAGAAACAGGCUGCAGAGAACAUCAAGUACCUGCCUUCUUCAGACAUCUGUUUCCCCACAAAUAGCCAUCUAUUUUACCUGCAGAGAAUUUUGCAGUUAUUCUCCUUCCCUCCCCCUCUGCCUUUCCCUCUCCCUCUUCCUCUCUCUCCGUGUGUGUGUGUGUGUGUGUGUGUGUGUGUGUGUGUUUGUAUAUGUGUAACUCUAUGAAAAACACUUCAUCUGAGAAGCCAACGUGUAAGUUAAAUUUAAGGCAAAUACAGAGUAUAAUAAGAUUUGAGGGUGUAACAGAAGUAAAAUAACCUUAUUUGAUCAACAUUUUAUUUCUACCUUAAAUAAAAAGAAAAAUGUUUCUAUUUACAAUGAUUUGAUACACUUCUGUAAGUGCAUAAAAGCCUAUAAGCUAUCAAAGUUCAUUCUAUUAACUAAGGAGAAAUCUUAAGGGCUACAUCUGGAUAAUACCACAAAUUCAUAAAUUAGUAAUUUAUAAUUCCCCAUUGUAAAUGAUCACUCAGCUGAUACACAUGAGGACACCUGGCAAUCAAACUAAAUAUUCCCAUUUCCAGAUGCAAGACAUAACUAACUGGUUAAUUGCCUUUAAAUUUUUGGCCUUAUGGUUUAUUUUUUAAAAAUCAUUAGAAAAUAGAUAGAUGAUGAAAAAAAUGUGGUUCCAAAAGUUUUUCAUUUUUCUGAAAAAUACUUCCAUUAUCACUAUUUUUAGCAAAUUUAAUUUAAAAAUCUUUUUGUUUUUCUAAGCUUUGAGUUAGGGAAAAUUUUAAAAGACUAUAGGAGUUGGGGGAAUUUUAAUAUUAGCCAAAAGGGUUUGAAGCAGAGAACUAGGAUAAGAAAGGAAGUGAGGGGUGAGCAAAGGUCUCAAGCCAAAUGGGGCAGAAGAAAGAGCCCAGCUAGUUGUGACAAAUAGAGGGAGAGCAGCUGCUGACCAGCCUCAUGACCUUAUUUAUUACAUGGGGAGGAGAGUUGGCCAGUGAUGGAAAAGGAGGAAAACCAUAUCCUCCCUUGGGGACAAGGUAUAAAGAUCAAGGGAUCUGUGAAGUCUAGCAUGUCCCACAAUGAUGAUGAUGGUGAUAAUGACCACAGCUGUCCCUAGAGUGUGACACCAAAGCAAAGGGGAGGACAAACAUACUCGCACGGAAACAAGGAGCACUGUGCAGCAGACGGAAAGCCUUCAUUUGAUUUCAAGCUCUUUUGACAGGAGACCUGUGUCUAUUCCAGACUGGAAUUGUCUCUUUUCUCAUCACAUCCUUUGGAGAGAACAAAAGUUAGGGAAUAUCCAUGGGGUUUUUGUGAAGAUUCUUUGUACUGGGGAUGGGAGGUACUGAUGCAUUGGCAGCUCUUCACUUCCCCCAUGAAAAUAUACUGUAUCCCUCUCAAUAAAAAAAAAAAAAGCAGGGAGAAGAAAGUUGUGGUAGAUGUUAUUAUCAUAAUGCCAAAAUUAUUCUGAGGAAAAGAAAAACCCACUUCAGAAGUAUGCUCUUUCUUAACUGUACAAGGUAUCAGAGGAAGCAGAUGUUUUGUCUGUUACUCAAUCUCCUACUCUCCCUCUCUUUCUAUCCUUGCCAUCUUCCCCAUCACUUCUCCAUCAUAAAUUAAUGACAGCAUUGACUAAUUUUAUCAUAUUUUGAAUCAAUUUUCAUAGAUCCAUCUAUUCAUUUAAAUAAAUGUCUCUGAUAUACAUCAUCUUACAAACACCCCAAAAUGUAAAACCUUAAGCACAAGAAGAAAGGCACAUGGAGAAUUUGUGUUCCAGGA